CAGCAGCCGCGGUAAUACAGAGGGUGCGAGCGUUAAUCGGAUUUACUGGGCGUAAAGCGUGCGUAGGCGGCUUUUUAAGUCGGAUGUGAAAUCCCUGAGCUUAACUUAGGAAUUGCAUUCGAUACUGGUUAGCUAGAGUGUGGGAGAGGAUGGUAGAAUUCCAGGUGUAGCGGUGAAAUGCGUAGAGAUCUGGAGGAAUACCGAUGGCGAAGGCAGCCAUCUGGCCUAACACUGACGCUGAGGUACGAAAGCAUGGGGAGCAAACAGGAUUAGAUACCCGUGUAGUCCCUGUCUCUUAUAC
Molecule: ribosomal RNA, 301 nt
Filed under: uncultured bacterium
Lineage: Bacteria
Description: partial 16S ribosomal RNA
Rfam family: Bacterial small subunit ribosomal RNA
Source: RNAcentral